RNAcentral lists this transfer RNA (75 nucleotides) under Actinomycetospora cinnamomea. It matches the Rfam family "tRNA". Rfam says of the family: Transfer RNA (tRNA) molecules are approximately 80 nucleotides in length. Their secondary structure includes four short double-helical elements and three loops (D, anti-codon, and T loops). Lineage: Bacteria; Bacillati; Actinomycetota; Actinomycetes; Pseudonocardiales; Pseudonocardiaceae. The record is from Rfam by way of RNAcentral.
GCCCCCGUAGCCCAAACGGCAGCAGGCAGCGGAUUCAAAAUCCGUCCAGUGUGGGUUCGAGUCCCACCGGGGGCA